AAUACGUAGGGUGCGAGCGUUGUCCGGAAUUAUUGGGCGUAAAGGGCUCGUAGGCGGUUUGUCGCGUCGGGAGUGAAAACCCCAGGCUUAACUUGGGGCUUGCUUUCGAUACGGGCAGACUUGAGGCAUGCAGGGGAGAACGGAAUUCCUGGUGUAGCGGUGAAAUGCGCAGAUAUCAGGAGGAACACCGGUGGCGAAGGCGGUUCUCUGGGCAUGUUCUGACGCUGAGGAGCGAAAGUGUGGGGAGCGAACAG
This 254-nucleotide ribosomal RNA is filed under the name uncultured prokaryote. Its description in RNAcentral is "partial 16S ribosomal RNA". It matches the Rfam family "Bacterial small subunit ribosomal RNA", at positions 522 to 775 of the family's 1533-position model. The record is from RNAcentral.